Molecule: long non-coding RNA, 380 nt
Organism: Stylophora pistillata
Lineage: Eukaryota; Metazoa; Cnidaria; Anthozoa; Scleractinia; Pocilloporidae
Source: RefSeq, a predicted model, not a curated record
CAUCCAUUAAAGUAAUGGCUGACAAACGACAGGCAGCCAUCAUAGACCAAAGAGACUUGGAACCCAAACUUGAAAUUAUCAGAACAAAAACAAAAGAACUACAAGGACAGAUUUCCCAAGAAAUCUCCAAGAAAUACAAGAACAGGCCUGUGAAUAUUAUGGGUGAAAUAAACACUAUCUAAAAACAGACUAUUUAUUUCAUUUGUACUGUGUUUAGAUUUAAGAUAAUUUAAAAAAUGCUAAGAUAAUUUUGUCAGUCAUUAUGUUAAGUUCUCAUCAUUCAACAUAAUGUACCUCAGAGAAUGAGUUUUUUAACUCUACAAUGGUAGGGCAAAUGCCCCAUGUAUUAAUUCUUGAACAAAUAAAAACGUAGAGCAUAA